Mobula hypostoma (lesser devil ray) is the source of this 1056-nucleotide long non-coding RNA. RefSeq lists it as uncharacterized. The record is from RefSeq and is a predicted model, not a curated record. The transcript is spliced from 3 exons. Lineage: Eukaryota; Metazoa; Chordata; Chondrichthyes; Myliobatiformes; Myliobatidae.
UUUCAUUUCCUGGUAUUAGAAACUAACCUGAAAAUUUUCCCAGUUUUGUGGGACAGUGGUUCCAUUAACAUUCUUAAGCCUUCCCACACCAAUCUUCUUAUAGAGAUAUUUGUUUUUUACUAAAAUUCUGAGUUGCAAGAAUUCCUUUGAUUGUCAGUUUAUUGGCCGUGUUAAUUUAUUUUAUUCAAAGUGGGUUACCAACUGUAUUAAAGCUGCUUUCCAACAGCGAGAUAUGGGACUGCUAAUGAGAUCAGUGGACAAUGAAUAUGAAUGGAAAUCAGAGUGCAUUCUUCCUUUUCCUGCAGCACAAAGGCAUACACAGUAAAUCCAAGAAUCACUGUAGAAUCAAUGAAAGACCACAUCCAACAGGAUGAACAAGCAACCGAUGGGCAAAAGACAACAGACAGUGCAAAUACACAAGAAAUAAUAAUAAUAAUUAAAUAAGCAAUAAAUAUCAAGAACAUGAGAUGAGGUCUAUGAAAGUGAGUCCAUAGGUGUGGGAACAGUUCAUUGGUGGGUUGAGUGAAGUUAAGUGAUGUUAUCCUCUCUGGUUCAAGAGCCUGACGGUUGAGGGGUAAUAACUGUUCCUGAACCUGGUGGUUUGUGAGUUCUGAGGCUCCUGUACCUUCGUCCUAAUUGCAACCACAAGAAGGGAGCAUGUCCUGGGUUGUGGGUGUCUUUGAUGAUGGAUGCUACUUUCCUGAUAAUGUUUCAUGUAGACGUGCUUAAAGCUGGGGAGGGCUUUACCCACGAUGGACUGGGCCAUAUCCACUACUUUUUGUCAGAUUUUCCAUUCAGGGGCAUUGUUGUUUCCAUACCAGACUGUGUUGCAACACGAUGCAUGAUUCAGAUCUGUCACAUCACCGGAUUCAGCAAUUCAUGCAAUCUUUCUGAGGGUUCAUCUGAUCUCCUGCUCAAGUUACAACUGAGACAACUCCUGCGGGAAUUCAUGUCUGAAGUACUUAGCUAUUGAGUCAUCAAUAGCUCUCUGGAGUUUGUCUUGACAUUGGAGUUUUACUGUAAACAUUGAAUGAUUAAUAAAAAUUAAAGCGGGUG